Long non-coding RNA from Suricata suricatta (meerkat), 395 nucleotides. RefSeq lists it as uncharacterized. NCBI's taxonomy places the organism in Eukaryota, Metazoa, Chordata, Mammalia, Carnivora, Herpestidae. The transcript has 2 exons. The record is from RefSeq and is a predicted model, not a curated record.
UGCGUGGCGGCCAGCACGGGGCGCCUCCUGGCGGGGGGAGGAGGGGGAACUUAACGCCCACCCGGCGGUCUCGGCCCUGCGCGCCCUAGGCUCAGAGAGCAGCGGUGGGAGGAGGUGCUGGGGGGCCGCCAGACUUCAUAGGUAUUGGCGCACCCAGGCAGUUGCAGGGCUGGGACCCAAGACUGAGGAGGGAAGCCUGAGACUUCAAGAAAAAGCAAAACCAUCAUCUGUGAAUUCUGCUUAAGAAGACAUGAUUUUAGAACAUCUUCCAUUCAAAAUAGCUUAUGAGAAGCACUUAAAGAAAGGCUUUAUGUAUUGGAAAAACUAACUUAUUUAACUUAUUAGAAUAUGUAUUCUUUAACAAAUGGAUCUUGAAUAAAGCAUUAUUUAAUGAC